RNAcentral lists this ribosomal RNA (563 nucleotides) under uncultured bacterium. RNAcentral describes it as "bacterial SSU rRNA". It matches the Rfam family "Bacterial small subunit ribosomal RNA", at positions 338 to 916 of the family's 1533-position model. The record is from RNAcentral.
CCUACGGGAGGCAGCAGUGGGGAAUCUUGCGCAAUGGGCGAAAGCCUGACGCAGCCAUGCCGCGUGAAUGAUGAAGGUCUUAGGAUUGUAAAAUUCUUUCACCGGGGACGAUAAUGACGGUACCCGGAGAAGAAGCCCCGGCUAACUUCGUGCCAGCAGCCGCGGUAAUACGAAGGGGGCUAGCGUUGCUCGGAAUUACUGGGCGUAAAGGGAGCGUAGGCGGAUAGUUUAGUCAGAGGUGAAAGCCCAGGGCUCAACCUUGGAAUUGCCUUUGAUACUGGCUAUCUUGAGUAUGGGAGAGGUUAGCGGAACUCCGAGUGUAGAGGUGAAAUUCGUAGAUAUUCGGAAGAACACCAGUGGCGAAGGCGGCUAACUGGCCCAUUACUGACGCUGAGGCUCGAAAGCGUGGGGAGCAAACAGGAUUAGAUACCCUGGUAGUCCACGCCGUAAACGAUGAGUGCUAGUUGUCGGCAUGCAUGCAUGUCGGUGACGCAGCUAACGCAUUAAAGCACUCCGCCUGGGGAGUACGGUCGCAAGAUUAAAAACUCAAAAGGAAUUGACGG